RNAcentral lists this ribosomal RNA (468 nucleotides) under uncultured bacterium. RNAcentral describes it as "partial 16S ribosomal RNA". It matches the Rfam family "Bacterial small subunit ribosomal RNA", at positions 28 to 507 of the family's 1533-position model. The record is from RNAcentral.
GACGAACGCUGGCGGCGUGCUUAACACAUGCAAGUCGAACGGAAAGGCCCUGCGUUUGUGGGGUGCUCGAUUGGCGAACGGGUGAGUAACACGUGAGUAACCUGCCCGUGACUUUGGGAUAACUUCAGGAAAAGGGGGCUAAUACCGGAUAGGAGCUCCUGCUCCAUGGGGGGGGAUGGAAAGUUUCGGCGGUUGGGGAUGGACUCGCGGCUUAUCAGCUUGUUGGUGGGGUAGUGGCUUACCAAGGCUUUGACGGGUAGCCGGCCUGAGAGGGUGACCGGCCACAUUGGGCCUGAGAGACGGCCCAGACUCCUACGGGAGGCAGCAGUGGGGAAUAUUGCACAAUGGGCGGAAGCCUGAUGCAGCAACGCCGCGUGCGGGAUGACGUCUUUCGGGUUGUAAACCGCUUUCGCCUGUGACGAAGCGUGAGUGACGGUAAUGGGUAAAGAAGCACCGGCUAACUACGUG